GAUGAACGCUGGCGGCGUGCUUAACACAUGCAAGUCGAACGGGAAACCUUUUAUUGAAGCUUCGGCAGAUUUAGCUGGUUUCUAGUGGCGGACGGGUGAGUAACGCGUGGGUAACCUGCCUUAUACAGGGGGAUAACAGUCAGAAAUGGCUGCUAAUACCGCAUAAGCGCACAGAGCUGCAUGGCUCAGUGUGAAAAACUCCGGUGGUAUAAGAUGGACCCGCGUUGGAUUAGCUGGUUGGUGGGGUAACGGCCCACCAAGGCGACGAUCCAUAGCCGGCCUGAGAGGGUGAACGGCCACAUUGGGACUGAGACACGGCCCAGACUCCUACGGGAGGCAGCAGUGGGGAAUAUUGCACAAUGGGGGAAACCCUGAUGCAGCGACGCCGCGUGAAGGAAGAAGUAUCUCGGUAUGUAAACUUCUAUCAGCAGGGAAGAUAAUGACGGUACCUGAAGAAGAAGCCCCGGCUAACUACGUG
Molecule: ribosomal RNA, 478 nt
Filed under: uncultured bacterium
Lineage: Bacteria
Description: partial 16S ribosomal RNA
Rfam family: Bacterial small subunit ribosomal RNA
Source: RNAcentral